Molecule: non-coding RNA, 880 nt
Organism: Doryrhamphus excisus (bluestripe pipefish)
Lineage: Eukaryota; Metazoa; Chordata; Actinopteri; Syngnathiformes; Syngnathidae
Source: RefSeq, a predicted model, not a curated record
AUCAGAAAACUUGGGUGGGUGGGUGUUUGGAGCACGUUCAAACAGCGUUUGCCAAAUGGAAUUACAGACACUACUUUAACUUCGUUGAAGUCAAAGGAACUAAGGACGAGGACAAGGACGAUGGCGACAGGAGCAUCAAGAGCAGCUAGCAUGAUAAGGAUUGCGGAUGGAAAGAAUUCCAAAGAAAGAGGGUGUACUCCGCCUCUCGUCAGCUGGGAUAGGCUCCAGCACCCCCGGGACACUAUGGAUGGAUGGACGGAUGGAUGGACGGAUGGAUCCACAUCUGAUUCCCGAACCUUGAUGUUAAAGGGCGUCAAUGUUGAAUAUUCCUGGGACGGGGAAAUCGGCGAAUAAGCGCUGAAACUGCAUGAGGGUUGUUCCGAUGAGCAAAGUCUGCAGAGAAAAAAAACAAAAGCAAGAAUUCAAACUUGAUUCCGAGGAGCCCGGACCGCCGCCAACACUCAACUCAACGGUCAAGAAAUACUUCAGCAUCGCAUCACAGUUCCUUGGCUAGUGGGCGACUUCCUGACAACGUAAAUGCCACAAAUCCCUGAAGUGUAGAACUCAGUGAAAGUGAUGUAGAGGUACACGAUACUUGAGUACCACCUAGUGGAUCAAAUGUGAAUGACACCUCUUAUGGCAACGAUGACUAAAUGUUUUCAAAAAAUGUUGAUUAUAUUGAUUAUGGCUGAUAAUGUGUAGCACAAUUAUCGACUACCAAAAUCUGUUAUUAUGACAGGCUUGUUCCUCAUAUUAAUAAUAUAAUAAUAAUUUAUUAUUUUAUAUUAUUUAUAUUAUUUAAUAACUAUAAUUAAUAAUAAUAAUAAUCAUUAUUAUUCCGACUGCCUACCCUCCAACAAUUAUUCCUCAUAAUAAUAUA